RNAcentral lists this unclassified non-coding RNA (108 nucleotides) under uncultured fungus. RNAcentral's name for it is "sequence contains ITS1". The record is from RNAcentral. Lineage: Eukaryota; Fungi.
GGGUUGUUGCUGGCUCUCUAGGGAGCNUGUGCACACCUUGUCAUCUUUAUAUCUCCACCUGUGCACUUUUUGUAGANCUUUCAAGUCUAUGNUGCUNCAUUUACCCCC